This 644-nucleotide ribosomal RNA is filed under the name unidentified microorganism. RNAcentral describes it as "bacterial SSU rRNA". It matches the Rfam family "Bacterial small subunit ribosomal RNA", at positions 79 to 719 of the family's 1533-position model. The record is from RNAcentral.
GCAACCCUGGUGGCGAGUGGCGAACGGGUGAGUAACAUAUCGGAACGUGCCCUGGAGUGGGGGAUAACUAGUCGAAAGAUUAGCUAAUACCGCAUACGAUCUACGGAUGAAAGUGGGGGAUCGCAAGACCUCAUGCUCGUGGAGCGGCCGAUAUCUGAUUAGCUAGUUGGUGGGGUAAAGGCCUACCAAGGCAUCGAUCAGUAGCUGGUCUGAGAGGACGACCAGCCACACUGGGACUGAGACACGGCCCAGACUCCUACGGGAGGCAGCAGUGGGGAAUUUUGGACAAUGGGCGCAAGCCUGAUCCAGCAAUGCCGCGUGAGUGAAGAAGGCCUUCGGGUUGUAAAGCUCUUUUGUCAGGGAAGAAACGGNGNGGGCUAAUAUCCCUUGCUAAUGACGGUACCUGAAGAAUAAGCACCGGCUAACUACGUGCCAGCAGCCGCGGUAAUACGUAGGGUGCAAGCGUUAAUCGGAAUUACUGGGCGUAAAGCGUGCGCAGGCGGUUGUGCAAGACCGAUGUGAAAUCCCCGGGCUUAACCUGGGAAUGGCAUUGGUGACUGCACGGCUAGAGUGUGUCAGAGGGGGGUAGAAUUCCACGUGUAGCAGUGAAAUGCGUAGAGAUGUGGAGGAAUACCGAUGGCGAA